AUUUAAGUAGCUUAAUUUAAGAGUGUAGUAUUGAAGAUACUGAGGUAAUUGUAUGAUUUUUAAAUA
RNAcentral lists this transfer RNA (66 nucleotides) under Scolytinae sp. BMNH 1039996. RNAcentral describes it as "tRNA-Phe". The record is from RNAcentral. Lineage: Eukaryota; Metazoa; Arthropoda; Insecta; Coleoptera; Curculionidae.